UUAAGUUCAGCGGGUAUCCCUACCUGAUCCGAGGUCAACCUGAAUAAAAGUGUGGUUGAUCGGCAGGCGCCGGCCGGGCCUACAGAGCGGGUGACAAAGCCCCAUACGCUCGAGGACCGGACGCGGUGCCGCCGCUGCCUUUCAGGCCCGUCCCCCGCGAGCGGAGGACGGGGCCUAACACACAAGCCGUGCUUGAGGGC
This 200-nucleotide unclassified non-coding RNA is filed under the name Penicillium sp. Its description in RNAcentral is "partial internal transcribed spacer 2". Lineage: Eukaryota; Fungi; Ascomycota; Eurotiomycetes; Eurotiales; Aspergillaceae. The record is from RNAcentral.